Molecule: long non-coding RNA, 1385 nt
Organism: Triticum dicoccoides
Lineage: Eukaryota; Viridiplantae; Streptophyta; Magnoliopsida; Poales; Poaceae
Exons: 3
Source: RefSeq, a predicted model, not a curated record
UCUGUCUUCGUACGCAUAUAAGCAGCCAAAUGUACAUGCAUAUGCAUAUCAGAAGGCUGCAAUAUUCCUGAAGAUAAGGUCCCAGGCACAAUCAUGACGAGCAAGAAAACUUAAAAGGAAGAUAAGGCCAUUCUAAUUGCAGCCAAGACACGGAGUGUGCAAUUCCAUCCAACAUGCACUAGCAGUCCUAAAAAGAAGGGCUCCAAAUGGCUACAAAGCCUAUAAACCUAGAAGACCUAAAAACUAGAUGCAUGAUGGACAAAAAGAAAGAAGAAGAAAUAAUGGAGGUGCAUUCUCCCGGAAGCUAUCCAGAGAGCUGCUCUCUCGCCUAUAAAAGGAGGUGUUUGCUGCGAAGAGAGACAUGAGAUGGAGAAGAACCACCAGCCACCGAUAGAGCAAAGUGCUGCGACCCAGCUAGCAAGCUCGUUGCUCAGUAGUAGUGGUAGUAGUAGUUCCUCAUCCUGCAAUAAGAGUCACAAUAUCCAGAGCAUUGUAAGGCUCAAGAAGGUAGUUAGACGGAUCUAUUUAGGGCUGGCAAGGCCAACAAUACGUCCGAUGAUGUGCGCAGAGGUGUAAAAUCCUACUCAGUACUCACCAUAUUUUCCAUUAUGUUAUAUCAGAUGUAGCUAGUUACGUUCACUUAGUAGUUUUAAUUGCAAAUUUUCGGGGUAAAGUCAUAUCAUCUUCCCAGGGAGUUCCACCCGAAGGGAACACUUCUCUAGGGCCACAAGGUUGUCAUUCAAACGCCACUCUGGGCUACACAGAGAACUACAGACGCAAAGGUUUCUUCUAUAGGAUCCCUAGCAUAAGAAACUCGUCCCAUAAAUUCAUAAAUAAAAAUACCAAGUAAAACCAAGAAACUACAUCAUUUUCACAACAUAAUUUACAUAUGGCUUUCCCUUUCGGGAGGCCCCGAAGGGAUUACACAAGCUAAAGGAAAUUACCUUCUAACUACCUUCUUGAGCCUUACAAUGCUCUGGAUAUUGUGGCUCUUAUUGCAGGAUGAGGAACUACUACUACUACUGAGCAACGAGCUUGCUAGCUGGGUCGCAGCUCUUUGCUCUAUCGGUGGCUGGUGGUUCUUCUUCGUCUGGUGUCUCUCUUCGGAGCAAACGCCUCCUUUUAUAGCUGCUGCAACACAAAAAAUGGCACAUAACAACGGGGGUGAUGUGGAUAUCAUGAUGAGUGGUGUGGGGACAAACCAACAGGGUGAACAAGCACACACGGCAAGCUUUGGUUCUGCAAACAUCAACAAUACAAACGAAGGUAAAAAAAUUACCAUGCUACCACCUUUUUAUUCCCAGACUUGUUACCAUCUGUCGGUGUUCUGGGAACGGGGGUCCCCAGACUUGCCUGCCUGCGGCCUGCGGCGUGGUUCAAGGAGU